Molecule: ribosomal RNA, 193 nt
Filed under: uncultured bacterium
Lineage: Bacteria
Description: partial 16S ribosomal RNA
Rfam family: Bacterial small subunit ribosomal RNA
Source: RNAcentral
CCUACGGGAGGCAGCAGUGGGGAAUCUUGCGCAAUGGGCGAAAGCCUGACGCAGCGACGCCGCGUGAGUGAUGAAGGCCUUCGGGUUGUAAGGCUCUGUGGGGAGAGAAGAAUUAGUGGUGGCUAAUAUCCACCAUGAUGACGGUAUCUCCUUAGCAAGCACCGGCUAACUCUGUGCCAGCAGCCGCGGUAAU